CCUUCUUCUUCUCUCUUUCUCCUUCUUUCCUUUUUUUCCCUCUCUUUCCUUCUUUUCUUCCAGUUGGACGUGAAAGCGCCCGGCUCAACCGGGCGAGGACGUACCGAACUGCGGGACUAGAGGCAGGGAGAGGCGUGUGGAAUUCCGGGUGUAGUGGUGAAAUGCGUAGAGAUCCGGAGGAACACCAGUGGCGAAGGCGACACGCUGGGCCUGGCCUGACGCUCAGACGCGAAAGCAUGGGGAGCGAACGG
RNAcentral lists this ribosomal RNA (251 nucleotides) under uncultured prokaryote. Its description in RNAcentral is "partial 16S ribosomal RNA". The stretch from base 43 to 251 matches the Rfam family "Bacterial small subunit ribosomal RNA", at positions 567 to 775 of the family's 1533-position model. The record is from RNAcentral.